Molecule: ribosomal RNA, 440 nt
Filed under: uncultured bacterium
Lineage: Bacteria
Description: partial 16S ribosomal RNA
Rfam family: Bacterial small subunit ribosomal RNA
Source: RNAcentral
CCUACGGGAGGCAGCAGUAGGGGAUAUUCCACAAUGGGCGGAACCCUGAUGCAGCGACGCCGCGUGGGUGAAGAAGCGCCUCGGCGCGUAAAGCCCUGUCAGCAGGGAAGAAAAUGCGGGUGCCUGAAGAAGCAGCCCCGGCUAAACACGUGCCAGCAGCCGCGGUAAUACGUAGGGGGCACGCGUUAGCCGGAUUUACUGGGCGUAAAGGGGGCGCAGACGGCGAUGCAAGCCAGGAGUGAAAGCCCGGGGCCCAACCGCGGGACUGCUCUUGGAACUGGGUGGCUGGAGUGCAGGAGGGGCAGGUGGAAUUCCUGGUGUAGCGGUGAAAUGCGUAGAUAUCAGGAGGAACACCGGUGGCGAAGGCGGCCUGCUGGACUGCAACUGACGUUGAGGUCCGAAAGCGUGGGGAGCAAACAGGAUUAGAUACCCGAGUAGUC